GCAAACUUGGUCAUUUAGAGGAAGUAAAAGUCGUAACAAGGUUUCCGUAGGUGAACCUGCGGAAGGAUCAUUAAAGAAUUCGACCUCGCGGUCUUUUUCUUCUCCCACAGCUGUGCGCUCCGGCUGCACGCUCGUGCGGAUAAACCUCACACACCUGUGCACACUUCGGUCGCGGUAAAACGCCUCCGCUUUUACAUACAACCACAAAAGUCCAGAAUGUCUAAUACCAUAAACAAUACAACUUUCAACAACGGAUCUCUUGGCUCUCGCAUCGAUGAAGAACGCAGC
Molecule: unclassified non-coding RNA, 288 nt
Filed under: uncultured fungus
Lineage: Eukaryota; Fungi
Description: partial contains small subunit ribosomal RNA, internal transcribed spacer 1, and 5.8S ribosomal RNA
Rfam family: Eukaryotic small subunit ribosomal RNA (bases 1-73)
Source: RNAcentral